Molecule: ribosomal RNA, 342 nt
Filed under: Callcosma abrapatricia
Lineage: Eukaryota; Metazoa; Arthropoda; Arachnida; Opiliones; Nomoclastidae
Description: partial large subunit ribosomal RNA
Rfam family: Bacterial large subunit ribosomal RNA (bases 75-342)
Source: RNAcentral
UUUUUUAAUUGAAGACUGGAAUGAAAGGUAAUUACUAAAGAGAUUGGUUUCAUUUUACUAAUUUGAAUUAAAAUUAAAAGUAAAAAUGCUUUUGUUAAUUUCUAGGACGAGAAGACCCUAGAAGCUUAAAAUUAAUAAAAUUUUUUAUUGGGGCAAUAGUUGAAGAUAUUAAUUUUUAAUAUUAAAUAAUUUUGUUACAAGUUACUCUAGGGAUAACAGCGUUAUUUAGUUAAAGAGUUCUUAUUAAUAAUUAAGGUUGCGACCUCGAUGUUGAAUUAAAGUAAAUUUUAGGUGAAGAAGCUUAAAAAAUUUAGUCUGUUCGACUAUUAAAAUUUUACGUGA